CGAACGCUGCGGCGUGCCUAAUACAUGCAAGUAGAACGCUGAAGGAGGAGCUUGCUCUUCUGGAUGAGUUGCGAACGGGUGAGUUAACGCGUAGGUAACCUGCCUGGUAGCGGGGAUAACUAUUGGAAACGAUAGCUAAUACCGCAUAACAGUAGAUGUUGCAUGACAUUUGCUUAAAAGGUGCAAUUGCAUCACUACCAGAUGGACCUGCGUUGUAUUAGCUAGUUGGUGAGGUAACGGCUCACCAAGGCAACGAUACAUAGCCGACCUGAGAGGGUGAUCGGCCACACUGGGACUGAGACACGGCCCAGACUCCUACGGGAGGCAGCAGUAGGGAAUCUUCGGCAAUGGGCGGAAGUCUGACCGAGCAACGCCGCGUGAGUGAAGAAGGUUUUCGGAUCGUAAAGCUCUGUUGUAAGAGAAGAACGAGUGUGAGAGUGGAAAGUUCACACUGUGACGGUAUCUUACCAGAAAGGGACGGCUAACUACGUG
Molecule: ribosomal RNA, 492 nt
Filed under: uncultured Streptococcus sp.
Lineage: Bacteria; Bacillati; Bacillota; Bacilli; Lactobacillales; Streptococcaceae
Description: bacterial SSU rRNA
Rfam family: Bacterial small subunit ribosomal RNA
Source: RNAcentral